ACUUCCUUUCGGCGCAGAGCCCUGGAGCGUACAGCAUGCCGGGCAGCGGAAGCCCGGGGCGGCGGAACCCGGCCUGCCCUCCGGCUCUAACAGGAACUUGAACAAAUGUUUUCCAAAAACUUGUCAUGGAAAGUGAUUGAAACAACCCACCAGGACUACGGUUGCCAGCAAUAAGCAUGUAGGUGGCUGCAGGUAAAUGUUCAACUUAAGCUGUGAU
Molecule: long non-coding RNA, 217 nt
Organism: Acomys russatus (golden spiny mouse)
Lineage: Eukaryota; Metazoa; Chordata; Mammalia; Rodentia; Muridae
Exons: 3
Source: RefSeq, a predicted model, not a curated record